AGGUGAACUAUCUACUCAGUUUUGUGGUGAAGCUACAUGAUGAAAUGGGUUAAAAGGUUUCAAGGGGUCAAAAAAAGACAUCAAGAGAGGAAUAGUGUGUGAACAGCUGUUCCAGAAAAAUAGCCAUGAGCAAGCUGAGAACGCAUGGAUUCAUCAGAAUGUAACAGUCUCUCCUUACUGCUGGUAGCAUCUGAAUCUGAAGGAAGAAGAGAUUAUUUCCACCUUUUGAAGGGCAAGACUUGAAAGUGCUUUCAUAUGCCUCUCCUUCAUCAAAGACAUACUUCUGUGCUCUCUAAUACUUUCUUCUGAAAUCUCUCCACACGAAUGCAUGAAGAUUUCAUGUUUAAAAAGGAAACUGCACUAGGGGUAAAUGCUGUUGACCAUCAUGAGCUGGAAUUAAAAAAG
Numida meleagris (helmeted guineafowl) is the source of this 405-nucleotide long non-coding RNA. RefSeq lists it as uncharacterized. NCBI's taxonomy places the organism in Eukaryota, Metazoa, Chordata, Aves, Galliformes, Numididae. The transcript has 4 exons. The record is from RefSeq and is a predicted model, not a curated record.